UAUUGCGCAAUGGGGGGAACCCUGACGCAGCAACGCCGCGUGAGUGAAGAAGGCCUUCGGGUUGUAAAGCUCUUUAAUCAGGGACGAAGAAUGACGGUACCUGAAGAAUAAGCUCCGGCUAACUACGUGCCAGCAGCCGCGGUAAUACGUAGGGAGCAAGCGUUAUCCGGAUUUACUGGGUGUAAAGGGAGCGUAGGCGGCCUGGCAAGUCUGGUGUGAAAUACCGGGGCCCAACCCCGGGACUGCAUUGGAAACUGCCAGGCUGGAGUGUCGGAGGGGCAGGCGGAAUUCCUAGUGUAGCGGUGAAAUGCGUAGAUAUUAGGAGGAACACCAGUGGCGAAGGCGGCCUGCUGGGCUCUAACUGACGCUGAGGCUCGAAAGCGUGGGUAGCAAACAGG
Molecule: ribosomal RNA, 398 nt
Filed under: uncultured bacterium
Lineage: Bacteria
Description: bacterial SSU rRNA
Rfam family: Bacterial small subunit ribosomal RNA
Source: RNAcentral